UCAGACAGUGAUGCUGCUAUCAGCUGGAUCAGACAGGCUGAAGGAAAAGGACUGGAGUGGGUCGCCUCCAUUUCUGCUCCCAGUGGAGCCAAUAAAUUGUAUUCCACAUCUGUCCAGGAUCGCUUCACCAUUUCCAGAGACAACGACGUGGAUCAGGUGUAUCUGCAGAUGAGCAACCUGAAAACUGAAGACUCUGCAGUUUAUUAUUGUGCUCGAAGAAGCACAGUG
Molecule: non-coding RNA, 228 nt
Organism: Austrofundulus limnaeus
Lineage: Eukaryota; Metazoa; Chordata; Actinopteri; Cyprinodontiformes; Rivulidae
Source: the annotation of a RefSeq genome assembly